Long non-coding RNA from Dunckerocampus dactyliophorus (ringed pipefish), 930 nucleotides. RefSeq lists it as uncharacterized. NCBI's taxonomy places the organism in Eukaryota, Metazoa, Chordata, Actinopteri, Syngnathiformes, Syngnathidae. The transcript is spliced from 3 exons. The record is from RefSeq and is a predicted model, not a curated record.
UAUUACAAAGUGAAAGAAGUAAACAUAUUUAACCCACCUAAACACGCCGUUGUGGUUAGCUAGCGGUUUGCUUUCUCGUCUGGUGCCAAAUGCUGGACACCCUCUCCUCCUCCAGCAUCCAUUCAUGGUAGCUAAUAAAGUUGAUAACUCAAAAAUACCGACAACAUUCGACGACAAGUGCCACUGUUGACCCAGCAUCAAGCCGCCGUGCUUGUGGAUACACAGUCAACUGACAAGGUGUUUCUGGCUGUUCUCCGAGGCCAUGACUGCUCCUAGCCGGGAGGCCCCUGCACCCCAUAUGUGACAGAGAAAGGAACAAGACUUUUUUCUUUCUUUCCUGCAGGGGGAUUACAGUAUCUCCACGAGCGUCUCAAAUUAUGGAGAGUGUCAAGAUAAGGACAAAGAGAACAUGCGUUUCGUAACUAACCCCAUCAGUCAUAUCAUUUGGAAAAAUCCGGCAAUCAGAUAAUUAGCGACAGGGUCUGGUGUAACAUAUGAAAUACAUGUCGGAUGGCGACAUUGCUUUCAACGCAACAGGGUGAGAAAAGUUCACACCCCUGUCCCAGCAGUGUAGAAUACCCUUUCUCCCGCCUAUGUUACUACCCCUGAAGGCAAAAAUAUCAAUAUCAGGUCAACUUUGUCACCCUGUUCCGUUGCUGUUUUACACAGAAUGACAGCAUGGAAAAAAGGCAGAAAAUGCAUGUCGAACAGUAACUUUCAACACAACAGGAUGAGAGAAGUUCAAUAGUGAGUGCCACUGAUUUUGUUUCCGAUCCGAUACUGAGUAAAAUUCCGGCUGGUAUCUGCUAUACUGAUCUGAUACUUUGCAAAUUCACCUCAUGUGUCCGGUAAAUUUGAAAAAGUAGUGUAUCAUACCAGCAUAAAGAAUACAAAACAUUUCAUUAAUUUAUUAAAUAAAUAAAUUAGUAU